RNAcentral lists this ribosomal RNA (467 nucleotides) under uncultured bacterium. RNAcentral's name for it is "partial 16S ribosomal RNA". It matches the Rfam family "Bacterial small subunit ribosomal RNA", at positions 29 to 507 of the family's 1533-position model. The record is from RNAcentral.
ACGAACGCUGGCGGCGUGCUUAACACAUGCAAGUCGAACGGAAAGGCCCUGCUUUUGUGGGGUGCUCGAGUGGCGAACGGGUGAGUAACACGUGAGUAACCUGCCCUUGACUUUGGGAUAACUUCAGGAAACUGGGGCUAAUACCGGGUAGGAGCUCCUGCUGCAUGGUGGGGGUUGGAAAGUUUCGGCGGUUGGGGAUGGACUCGCGGCUUAUCAGCUUGUUGGUGGGGUAGUGGCUUACCCAGGCUUUGACGGGUAGCCGGCCUGAGAGGGUGACCGGCCACAUUGGGACUGAGAUACGGCCCAGACUCCUACGGGAGGCAGCAGUGGGGAAUAUUGCACAAUGGGCGGAAGCCUGAUGCAGCAACGCCGCGUGCGGGAUGACGGCCUUCGGGUUGUAAACCGCUUUCGCCUGUGACGAAGCGUGAGUGACGGUAAUGGGUAAAGAAGCACCGGCUAACUACGUG